UCGAACGGUGAAGCCCCGCUUGCGGGGUGGAUCAGUGGCGAACGGGUGAGUAACACGUGAGCAACCUGCCCCUGACUCUGGGAUAAGCGCUGGAAACGGCGUCUAAUACUGGAUACGAGACGUGAUCGCAUGGUCAACGUUUGGAAAGAUUUUUCGGUUGGGGAUGGGCUCGCGGCCUAUCAGCUUGUUGGUGAGGUAAUGGCUCACCAAGGCGUCGACGGGUAGCCGGCCUGAGAGGGUGACCGGCCACACUGGGACUGAGACACGGCCCAGACUCCUACGGGAGGCAGCAGUGGGGAAUAUUGCACAAUGGGCGCAAGCCUGAUGCAGCAACGCCGCGUGAGGGAUGACGGCCUUCGGGUUGUAAACCUCUUUUAGCAGGGAAGAAGCGAGAGUGACGGUACCUGCAGAAAAAGCACCGGCUAACUACGUGCCAGCAGCCGCGGUAAUACGUAGGGUGCAAGCGUUAUCCGGAAUUAUUGGGCGUAAAGAGCUCGUAGGCGGUUUGUCGCGUCUGCUGUGAAAUCUGGGGGCUCAACCCCCAGCCUGCAGUGGGUACGGGCAGACUAGAGUGCGGUAGGGGAGAUUGGAAUUCCUGGUGUAGCGGUGGAAUGCGCAGAUAUCAGGAGGAACACCGAUGGCGAAGGCAGAUCUCUGGGCCGUAACUGACGCUGAGGAGCGAAAGGGUGGGGAGCAAACAGGCUUAGAUACCCUGGUAGUCCACCCCGUAAACGUUGGGAACUAGUUGUGGGGUCCAUUCCACGGAUUCCGUGACGCAGCUAACGCAUUAAGUUCCCCGCCUGGGGAGUACGGCCGCA
RNAcentral lists this ribosomal RNA (818 nucleotides) under Microbacterium sp. TCA1-9_Pa. Its description in RNAcentral is "bacterial SSU rRNA". It matches the Rfam family "Bacterial small subunit ribosomal RNA", at positions 62 to 890 of the family's 1533-position model. Lineage: Bacteria; Bacillati; Actinomycetota; Actinomycetes; Micrococcales; Microbacteriaceae. The record is from RNAcentral.